Molecule: non-coding RNA, 107 nt
Organism: Acanthosepion pharaonis
Lineage: Eukaryota; Metazoa; Mollusca; Cephalopoda; Sepiida; Sepiidae
Source: the annotation of a GenBank genome assembly
UACAUCAUGUUGAAACACCUGUUCCCGUACGAUCACUGAAGUUAAGCUAUGUCGAGCCUGGUCAGUACCUGGAUCAGUGAUCGCUUGGUUAUAUCAGGUGCCGUAAG